UCCCUCUCUUCUCAACUCCCUCGAAACGCUAGCCUCUCUCACCAUCUUCAACCUCAAUCCCAUCGAAAUCCAUGGACUCUCAGGCCAUGGAUGGAUUAAAAUCAUCUCCAUAUGCUCUUAGCACUUGGUAUUUGAAGGUUCGAGGUCUGACCUCGAUGGUUUCCAUUUAGGUCUUCGCCUAUUCAAGGUUCUAUGGCCAUCUCUGGCCCAGCUUCGACAAACAAUGGUGUUUUAAGCCAGGUUCUGACUUAUCCUACUUAGAUCGGACCUUUUUCCAAGCCUUUCUCAUUCUAGGGUUCUUCUGAAACCCUGACUACUCGAGUUUCUCUCCCAGAUGUUUUCUUAGAUCCAUCACAUAUCUGUGCUCUACUUGGGUUUUUAAGUAAUUUCCCCAAUUUUUCUUUCAAAAAUUAUCUUUUAAAAUCACUUCUCUUCCGUUUAGUGUUUUCUGAUUUUUAAAAUAUUUCUCAGACUUUUCUUUUCCUUUCUUUGUGUGUAUUUGCCACGCAUGUGCUUCUACUGCUUUCUUAUGCUUUCUUUCUACUAUACAUGUUCUUCCAUGUUUUAUUUUCCUACUAUGUUUCUAUACCAUGCUCGCAUGUUUAUCUUGUUGUGUUUUCCUAUAUGUUCUUUUGCUAUACUUUUCCGGUAUUUUGUGUUCUUCUACUGUAUGUAGUUCCUACUGAGUUCUUAAGUUUUGUUUGCCUUCUACUGUGCUUUGUUUGAGUUCUUCUUAAAUACCUCUUUAAACGUAUUUCCACUACUGUUUUCUUUAGUGUUAUACUAUCUUUUUCGCUUCUGAACCUUGGCAAAGUUCCUUCUAAAAAGUACUUUCUUCUGCUAUAUCUCCUAUUAUGUUCUUGAGUGUUUUUGCUUUCUCUUCUACUGAACCAUGUUUAAGUCCCUUCUAGAAGAAUUUUUUCUUAAACGCGUUUCUUCUGCUAUCCUGAUUGUUCUCUCAUUAUGCUCCUUUACUCUAUUUGAUUUGAAUUUUAUUUGUAUUUGCUUGUCUUAUCAUGAGAUUCUGAAAAGAAAUCUCUGAGCAUGUUGCCUCCUCAUCUCUGUAUUUGACUCAAGGAGGAGACCUUAGAAUUUGGGGGGUUUCCUCCGAGUUUGGUCAUAUGAACGGACCAGGGUUCUAUUUGAGAACCAUGGACUCUUUCAGGCUAAUUUCUGAGUCUAUGAACUAAGUGUGGAUUUCUCUUGUUUGCACACAAUCCUAAUUCUCCUACACUAUACCCUUCUAUUGAAUAGCAUGACAAAUCUCUUCAUGUUUAACGUGUCUGUAUGCUUUUAUAUAUGAGAAAGUUUUCUUCAAAAAGGGUUUUCCCAACUUGUGAUUGAUUCAAAUUCUUUUUUAAUAAGUAUAAUUGAUUGGUACUGAUUUUCCUAAAGUCAAAAUCUUUCCCAUCUUUCUGACUUGGUUCAUUCAUACAAAAUCUUCAAUUUCUGAUUUACUAGCUAUUAAUUGAUUCCCUUGACUUAUUUGCACAAACCGUGUACUAUGAGGACUUUUUCCUUAAAUAUACCUCUAUGUAUUUACCCCUCUGGAAGUGUUUGAUUAAUCUCCUUCCUUAAUUAAUUUACCCUUUUGAAAUCAGAAUACCUUAAUUAAAGGGAAACCUUGUGUAAUUGAUUUCCAAACUAGUUUCUUACCUAUUACUGCUUACUUUCUAUACUGUAAAAAGGCAUGACCCUUCUGCACUUUCAUAACACACAUUACACACUUCAAGCACUUAUAAUCUCACAGUUCUCUUCUAAACUCAUAGCAUUAGGACUACUUGUUUGCACUUUGGCUUUACAAGACUGUUGCUUUCUUUUGCUUGUUUCCUUAAGACUGGUAUGUUCUAGUUAUGGUUUAAGAUUCAUCCCAAUUUUUUUACUUACAGCUUUUACAUCCAUGUCUAUUUACUGUUUAUAUGGAGUUUUGGCAUGUUAAUUUCCUUUCAUUUGUUGCUGUUGUGAAUCCCUGCACCCCUGUUUCCCCUCUGUGCUUUGAGUCAUGGUUCAGAACAUGGCAGUAUUCCAGUUAUUAUUCAUGUUUGGACUUGAUCCCUUAGGGGAUCUUAUCUCCCAAAACAAUGUGUUCUAAUAGGUUGGUGUGGGUGUGCCAGCAUUUUCUAUUGCUGGGUGUGACCACUAGCCUGUCUUUGACACUCCCCUUUUCCCCUUUUCAAAAUUUUUUCUAUGCACUUACACUCAUUACUAGCUUCUAAGUCCUGCCCCUCUCUUGUGAUCCAUGCCUUGAGACCUUGAGUUCCCUCUGAACUUGGACACUUGAGGGCUGGCCCUUCCACACUGCACUAUGUCUCAAUCCUGCAAUGUAUUUGGGUGUGAGCAUUGCCCGGAGUCCAUUUGAGGCUCAUAGGGAACUCUGAAACACCCGAAAUGAGAAAGGCUUUAGAUCUUGAUCUUUUGAGUUAGUUUACUUCAUGCUUCAGGCAGGAAACAUGAAUCAGGCUCUCUCCUUGGUUGUAAUUUUAUUUGUUUCUGAUGUAGUUUCUUUAUUUUAUUUUUGUACUUUAAAAAUUCUGUAAAAAACUUCUGGGGUGAUUAGUGAAAAAAUGGAAGGGUAAAUAGGCACGCAAAGGGUAGAUAUCACGUUCAUAGGGAAUUACUGCACUCCUAUAUUCAUGUAUCCUGCUUACAGGUUUGCAUGUAUGCAUCCACGUAGAUGUCAUGUUCAUAGGAUUUUCUGCAUUUUCGCAUCCAUGUAGAUACUAUGUCUAUAAGAAAUUCUGCAUUAUCACAUAGUACCAUGUCUAUAAGGAAUUUUGCAUCACAAAUAGAUACCAUAUCUAUAAGGAAUAUUGCACCACAUAUAGAUACUAUGUCAUAAGGAAUUUUUCAUCUUAUAUACAGAUACCACGUCUAUAAUGAACUCUGCAUUAUCAUAUAUAGAUACUAUGCCUAUAAGAAAUCCAGAUCCUGCAUACACAUUGGUCACUAGGCAAACCUGUUUAUAGGAGUUAAAACCAAACAACACUCAGAUGUCAUGCCCAUAGGAUUUUCUGCACUCUUACUACGCUUGUAAAAAGUGCUUAAAGACAAUAACGCCUAGAAAGCAUUCCUAUAGGAAUCAUCAAUUAAAGCUGAAUAUUUCAUUCACUAAUAAGGCUAAAAUCAGUAAUGAUAAUGCUUGAUGUCUGCAGAAUUUACGCUCUCUCGCCUUCCUUGGCCAAUUGACAACUUUUUUUCCUAAAUCAUCAUACUUCUUUUAUGAAACUGAUAGGUAUCAUGCCUAUUGGUUUUUUCGUUUAACACUUAGGCAAGCCAUAAGGUAACUUAUCAAUUGAAUCAGAUUUUAUCAACUACAACCAGCAUGCGGGCCUGAUUCGGGCUUCUCAUCUGAAAUAUGUAAUAGAU
Molecule: long non-coding RNA, 3366 nt
Filed under: Nicotiana benthamiana
Lineage: Eukaryota; Viridiplantae; Streptophyta; Magnoliopsida; Solanales; Solanaceae
Description: long non-coding RNA (NBEN_LNC040088)
Source: RNAcentral